RNAcentral lists this ribosomal RNA (450 nucleotides) under uncultured bacterium. Its description in RNAcentral is "bacterial SSU rRNA". It matches the Rfam family "Bacterial small subunit ribosomal RNA", at positions 354 to 796 of the family's 1533-position model. The record is from RNAcentral.
GUGGGGAAUAUUGGACAAUGGGCGAAAGCCUGAUCCAGCCAUGCCGCGUGUGUGAAGAAGGUCUUCGGAUUGUAAAGCACUUUAAGUUGGGAGGAAGGGCAGUAAGUUAAUACCUUGCUGUUUUGACGUUACCGACAGAAUAAGCACCGGCUAACUUCGUGCCAGCAGCCGCGGUAAUACGAAGGGUGCAAGCGUUAAUCGGAAUUACUGGGCGUAAAGCGCGCGUAGGUGGUUUUGUAAGUUGGAGGUGAAAUCCCCGGGCUCAACCUGGGAACUGCCUCCAAAACUGCAUGACUAGAGUACGGUAGAGGGUAGUGGAAUUGCCUGUGUAGCGGUGAAAUGCGUAGAUAUAGGAAGGAACACCAGUGGCGAAGGCGACUACCUGGACUGAUACUGACACUGAGGUGCGAAAGCGUGGGGAGCAAACAGGAUUAGAAACCCCGGUAGUCC